CCUACGGGAGGCAGCAGUGAGGAAUAUUGGUCAAUGGACGAGAGUCUGAACCAGCCAAGUAGCGUGAAGGAUGACUGCCCUAUGGGUUGUAAACUUCUUUUAUAUGGGAAUAAAAUGUUCCACGUGUGGGAUUUUGUAUGUACCAUAUGAAUAAGGAUCGGCUAACUCCGUGCCAGCAGCCGCGGUAAUACGGCGGAUCCGAGCGUUAUCCGGAUUUAUUGGGUUUAAAGGGAGCGUAGGUGGAUUGUUAAGUCAGUUGUGAAAGUUUGCGGCUCAACCAUAAAAUUGCAGUUGAAACUGGCAGUCUUGAGUACAGUAGAGGUGGGCGGAAUUCGUGGUGUAGCGGUGAAAUGCUUAGAUAUCACGAAGAACUCCGAUUGCGAAGGCAGUUCACUGGACUGCAACUGACACUGAGGCUCGAAAGUGUGGGUAUCAAACAGGAUUAGAUACCCUAGUAGUC
This 460-nucleotide ribosomal RNA is filed under the name uncultured bacterium. RNAcentral describes it as "partial 16S ribosomal RNA". It matches the Rfam family "Bacterial small subunit ribosomal RNA", at positions 338 to 795 of the family's 1533-position model. The record is from RNAcentral.